UAAAAAAAUAAAAUAUACAAAAGCUUCAAUGAUGCAGAAAAUAAAAAAAGAAGAACGUAAAAUGAGAGCUGCUGCGCUAUUUCAAAUAACUGAGACAACUAAAGCUGUUUUUAUGCUAAAAUAUAACAUGAAAGAUACCGAUAAUUAAUGAUGUUAAUAUUAAAAGUGAAUUAUUUGGAUAAAUGUCUUUAUCAGUGACAAAAGCCUUGGCAGUCUUUAUUGAACAAAAAAAGGUAUUCUUGGAUAACUAAAGGUUGAUCAGUGCACUUGUAAUCAAUAAUUGUCUCAGGUGUCAUUAAGUGUGGCUAAAACAUCUUAUGUGCCAAUGUUAUUCAUCCAACACAAUUAUUAAAACUGGGUCCAAAAAAAAAGACUAAAUUGCUUUGUCAAUCAAGCCAAAAUUAUUUUGGAGUAAAAUGAGUUGUAUUAUAUUAUUUAAAAAAAAUAAAAGUACAGUCUAAAAUUCACCUAAUAAUAAUUAGACUG
Molecule: long non-coding RNA, 486 nt
Organism: Aphidius gifuensis
Lineage: Eukaryota; Metazoa; Arthropoda; Insecta; Hymenoptera; Braconidae
Exons: 3
Source: RefSeq, a predicted model, not a curated record